RNAcentral lists this unclassified non-coding RNA (509 nucleotides) under uncultured Glomus. Its description in RNAcentral is "SSU rRNA". It matches the Rfam family "Eukaryotic small subunit ribosomal RNA", at positions 569 to 1081 of the family's 1831-position model. The record is from RNAcentral. Lineage: Eukaryota; Fungi; Glomeromycota; Glomeromycetes; Glomerales; Glomeraceae.
AGCAGCCGCGGUAAUUCCAGCUCCAAUAGCGUAUAUUAAAGUUGCUGCAGUUAAAAAGCUCGUAGUUGAAUUUCGGGACCAUCAUGUUGGUCGUGCCUCGGUACGUACUGGCAUUGUUGGUUUCUCCCUUCUGACGAACCAUGAUGUCAUUUAUUUGGUGUCGUGGGAAAUCAGGACUGUUACUUUGAAAAAUUAGAGUGUUUAAAGCAGGCUCACGCUUGAAUACAUUAGCAUGGAAUAAUGAAAUAGGACGUUUGAUUCUAUUUUGUUGGUUUCUAGGAUCGACGUAAUGAUUAAUAGGGAUAGUUGGGGGCAUUAGUAUUCAAUUGUCAGAGGUGAAAUUCUUGGAUUUAUUGAAGACUAACUACUGCGAAAGCAUUUGCCAAGGAUGUUUUCAUUAAUCAAGAACGAAAGUUAGGGGAUCGAAGACGAUCAGAUACCGUCGUAGUCUUAACCAUAAACUAUGCCGACUAGGGAUCGGAUGAUGUUAAUUUUUAAUAGACUCAUUC